GAAUGUUUCCAUGUUUCCACCUCUGAAAUACUCUGUGCAUGGAGGUUCAGCCCAGUGCCCAACGUCAUGAAGAACUCAACUGCAGGUCUCACAGAGAGUUUGAUUUACCCAACCUUCUCACAACUAAAGACGACACAGAAAACAACUGGAGAAAGUGCCUCAGCCACAGCAGUUUGCAAUCCCUUCCUUCUCCACUGUGUGUAACCAUCUAAGCUCUCCUGGUAGAAGCUAAGCGAAGCAGAGCUCGUCUCAUUGUAACGCUCUGAGUCUGCAUGCAGGGGACGCGUUUUUCAUGGCAAGACCUUACACCAAAGACGGAGGACCUGCCAGUGAUGGACAGGGACACCGAAUGGCCUGCAGGGAAGGAGGCAGGACUUGGGGAGCCAAGCACACCUUCC
Molecule: long non-coding RNA, 398 nt
Organism: Alexandromys fortis (reed vole)
Lineage: Eukaryota; Metazoa; Chordata; Mammalia; Rodentia; Cricetidae
Exons: 3
Source: RefSeq, a predicted model, not a curated record